UUAACUAUUAAGUAGUUACUCUGACUGUAUGUAAAACAAGAGUUGUGGUUCUCUGCCGGGCGCUGGCCAGCCAAAGCCGGCGGGCCCGAGAGCCGGGCCCGGCAAAGCAACAAAGGUAUUAAGUAUACAAAGGGUGGGAGAUCUACCCCGAGGGGCAAGUUCUCAUUAAUGAUCCCUCCGCAGGUUCACCUACGGAGA
RNAcentral lists this unclassified non-coding RNA (198 nucleotides) under uncultured fungus. RNAcentral describes it as "sequence contains ITS1". The record is from RNAcentral. Lineage: Eukaryota; Fungi.